GUUGGGCACAGUGGCAUGUGCCUGUAACUCCAGCUACUUGGGAGGCUGAGGCAGGAAGAUCUCUUGAGCCAAGGAGCUUGAGGUCAGCCUGGGCAACAUAACAAGAUCUCACUUCAA
This 117-nucleotide small RNA is filed under the name Marmota monax (woodchuck). Lineage: Eukaryota; Metazoa; Chordata; Mammalia; Rodentia; Sciuridae. The record is from RNAcentral.